AUUGAACGCUGGCGGCAGGCCUAACACAUGCAAGUCGAGCGGAGCGGCGGACGGGUGAGUAAUGCCUAGGAAUCUGCCUGGUAGUGGGGGAUAACGUCCGGAAACGGGCGCUAAUACCGCAUACUAUCAGCUGAGCCUAGGUCGGAUUAGCUAGUUGGUGGGGUAAAGGCCUACCAAGGCGACGAUCCGUAACUGGUCUGAGAGGAUGAUCAGUCACACUGGAACUGAGACACGGUCCAGACUCCUACGGGAGGCAGCAGUGGGGAAUCUUCGGCAAUGGGGGGAACCCUGACCGAGCAACGCCGCGUGAGUGAAGAAGGUUUUCGGAUCGUAAAGCUCUGUUAAUCGGGACGCGGUACCGGAAUAGAAAGCCACGGCUAACUACGUGCCAGCCGCCGCGGUAAUAC
RNAcentral lists this ribosomal RNA (407 nucleotides) under uncultured bacterium. Its description in RNAcentral is "partial 16S ribosomal RNA". It matches the Rfam family "Bacterial small subunit ribosomal RNA", at positions 30 to 526 of the family's 1533-position model. The record is from RNAcentral.